CUUUUCUAGGCUGCUGGAUCCUAACUCCUCUUUCAGGACAGUCAGCUCCUCCUUGGUGCUGAGACUUCUCUGAGGAAAAUAUCCUCCUGUGCUCUUCCAUGUUUUUUGCAAGAGCUCUGAUUAGGAGGAUAUCUGAAAUGCCUCCCCCUUCCUCUGUGCUGAAAUGAGCGCAAGAUGCAAGAGCCUUUCAGGAUGCCCUCCAGAGCGAUACAUCUAUAUGGACGCACUGUAUAAAGGAAAGCGUCAGAGAAGGCCAGACUCAGUCCAGGGGCCACCAGCCCCCUCUGCCACCAACAUCCAGUUCUCUUCUUUCCCGUGCUGGGCCCUCUUCUUGCCAGAUCUGCCUCGCAUUCCAGGAAAUCCUCGGUGCCUCUUCUGCCUACUGAAGCUCUGGAUUUCUCCUGCAUGAAUAUUUUGCCUUUUCCUGCUUCCAAGCGUAGUGAAUCCAAGCUUAGCCUUCUCAUAUGGUAUGGCCAAGGCCUGCUGGGAAAAUUGUUGCAAAUAGCUUUUGAAAUGCUUUCCAUGCCAUCUGGAGCGCAGGUUGGAGGAGAGCUUCUGACCCAGACCCAGCUCUGACUCCUGCAUCCGUGACUUCACCCCCGCUCCCCUUGUCUGCCGUCUUUCAGAAACAAGCCCCGUGCUGCCUCACUUUAUUAUGAAAUUAAAAUUGUUUCCGAAGACCUCAAAGGGGGAAAAUGAAACUGUUUUCAGCUUUGAUCGUGGUCGUAAUAAAACAGCUAUUUA
This 744-nucleotide long non-coding RNA is filed under the name Chinchilla lanigera (long-tailed chinchilla). Its description in RNAcentral is "lncRNA (ENSCLAG00000024349.1)". The record is from RNAcentral. Lineage: Eukaryota; Metazoa; Chordata; Mammalia; Rodentia; Chinchillidae.